This 253-nucleotide ribosomal RNA is filed under the name uncultured bacterium. Its description in RNAcentral is "partial 16S ribosomal RNA". It matches the Rfam family "Bacterial small subunit ribosomal RNA", at positions 524 to 776 of the family's 1533-position model. The record is from RNAcentral.
CACGUAGGGGACGAGCGUUGUCCGGAUUCAUUGGGCGUAAAGCGCGCGUAGGCGGCUCGGAAAGUCGGGCGUGAAAUGCCGGGGCUCAACCCCGGGACUGCCUUUGAUACUGAGGAUCUUGAGUUCGGGAGAGGUGAGUGGAACUGCGAGUGUAGAGGUGAAAUUCGUAGAUAUUCGCAAGAACACCAGUGGCGAAGGCGGCUCACUGGCCCGAUACUGACGCUGAGGCACGAAAGCGUGGGGAGCAAACAGG